Molecule: small nuclear RNA, 106 nt
Organism: Mastomys coucha (southern multimammate mouse)
Lineage: Eukaryota; Metazoa; Chordata; Mammalia; Rodentia; Muridae
Source: RefSeq, a predicted model, not a curated record
GUGCUUGCUUCGGCGGCACAUAUACUAAAAUUGGAACAAUACAGAGAGAUUAGUAUGGCCCCUGAACAAGGAUGACAUGGAAAUCUGUGAAGUGUUCUAUAUUAAA